CGCGGCCUAUCAGCUUGUUGGUGAGGUAACGGCUCACCAAGGCAACGACGGGUAGCUGGUCUGAGAGGACGAUCAGCCACACUGGGACUGAGACACGGCCCAGACUCCUACGGGAGGCAGCAGCAGGGAAUAUUGCACAAUGGGCGAAAGCCUGAUGCAGCGACGCCGCGUGGGGGAUGAAUGCCUUCGGGUUGUAAACCCCUUUCAGGAGGGACGAAGCGAAAGUGACGGUACCUCCAGAGGAAGCCCCGGCCAACUACGUGCCAGCAGCCGCGGUAAUACGUAGGGGGCGAGCGUUGUCCGGAUUUAUUGGGCGUAAAGAGCUCGUAGGCGGCUCAACAAGUCGGCCGUGAAAGCCCGAGGCUCAACCUCGGGAUGCCGGUCGAAACUGUUGUGGCUAGGGUCCGGUAGAGGAGAGUGGAAUUCCCGGUGUAGCGGUGAAAUGCGCAGAUAUCGGGAGGAACACCAGUAGCGAAGGCGGCUCUCUGGGCCGGCACCGACGCUGAGGAGCGAAAGCUAGGGGAGCAAACAGGAUUAGAUACCCUGGUAGUCCUAGCCGUAAACGUUGGGUACUAGGUGUGGCGGAUUCAUUGACAUCUGCCGUGCCGAAGCUAACGCAUUAAGUACCCCGCCUGGGGAGUACGG
RNAcentral lists this ribosomal RNA (645 nucleotides) under uncultured Actinomycetes bacterium. Its description in RNAcentral is "bacterial SSU rRNA". It matches the Rfam family "Bacterial small subunit ribosomal RNA", at positions 232 to 885 of the family's 1533-position model. Lineage: Bacteria; Bacillati; Actinomycetota; Actinomycetes. The record is from RNAcentral.